This 492-nucleotide ribosomal RNA is filed under the name uncultured bacterium. RNAcentral's name for it is "bacterial SSU rRNA". It matches the Rfam family "Bacterial small subunit ribosomal RNA", at positions 30 to 518 of the family's 1533-position model. The record is from RNAcentral.
UGAACGCUAGCUACAGGCUUAACACAUGCAAGUCGAGGGGUAGCAGGGUAGCAAUACCGCUGACGACCGGCGCACGGGUGAGUAACACGUAUCCAACCUUCCCAUAACUCAGGGAUAGCCUUUCGAAAGAAAGAUUAAUACCUGAUAGUACUUUUUCAAGGCAUCUUGAGAAAGUUAAAGAUUUAUUGGUUAUGGAUGGGGAUGCGUUCCAUUAGAUAGUUGGUGAGGUAACGGCUCACCAAGUCUUCGAUGGAUAGGGGUUCUGAGAGGAAGGUCCCCCACAUUGGUACUGAGACACGGACCAAACUCCUACGGGAGGCAGCAGUGAGGAAUAUUGGUCAAUGGGCGAGAGCCUGAACCAGCCAAGUAGCGUGAAGGAAUGAAGGUCCUAUGGAUUGUAAACUUCUUUUAUAGUAGAAUAAAGUGAUCCACGUGUGGAUUUUUGUAUGUAUACUAUGAAUAAGGAUCGGCUAACUCCGUGCCAGCCGCCGC